RNAcentral lists this long non-coding RNA (781 nucleotides) under Elaeis guineensis (African oil palm). RNAcentral describes it as "long non-coding RNA (EGUI_LNC060462)". Lineage: Eukaryota; Viridiplantae; Streptophyta; Magnoliopsida; Arecales; Arecaceae. The record is from RNAcentral.
UGGGCUAUGUAAAAAUUAGAGAGAAAGAGUGUUGGGGUGUGGAGAUAUAAUAGACACAAAACUAGGUGUCUGGGUUACAGCAAAGAGAAGAAGAAGAGGGACUUCUUCUAUGGUUGCUGAGUUCACCUCUUUCCUUCCUCCAUCUAUGAGUUUUCUGAGAGUGUCUCAUAUCUAAAACUUCUUGUCCUACUUCUCAUCUUUGAAAGAGUCUAAAUCAAGAAGGAGACAUCUGAUCGACCAUCGAAGAAUGAUCAGCACAGUACUAGCAUACUGUGCUGAUUUUCUAGAUCAGGACUUCUAAUCAUGAUUCAUGGAUCGUGUGGAUGACUCCUAGAGGCCGGAUACAUAUGUAGCUUGCAACAUCAUUCUCAAGCAUAGAUCAGCAAAGUUAAAACGUCUAACUUGCAAGGUAUUAGAUCUGAUCUAUUAUAUUUACAUACAUUAGAUGUAGUAUAGAAACAUGUUGAUAUGAUCAACAUGUAGUUCUUGCUCUUUAUAUUUUAAUUUUUGAUUUAAUAUCAUAUAAUAAUCAUGUAGUAGGAUCUUAGAUCUAGGGAUUCUCUAAUUUUAUAAGACAAAUUUUGAUUUAUUUUAGUCUUCCGCUGCCUGAUCUUGAAAAAGUUUCAAGAUCUAACCCUGAAACUCUAGAUCUGGUUCCUUCAGACACUUUAUAUGUGUAUGAUGUGUUCUCUAAAAUGCUUCAUAAAUCUUAUUGUCUCAUUCUGAAAAAUAUCUUAGAAAUUAUUGUAUAUGUUAGAUAUCAUCAAAAUCUGUUACUAGC